RNAcentral lists this ribosomal RNA (468 nucleotides) under uncultured bacterium. RNAcentral's name for it is "partial 16S ribosomal RNA". It matches the Rfam family "Bacterial small subunit ribosomal RNA", at positions 28 to 507 of the family's 1533-position model. The record is from RNAcentral.
GACGAACGCUGGCGGCGUGCUUAACACAUGCAAGUCGAACGGAAAGGCCCUGCUUUUGUGGGGUGCUCGAGUGGCGAACGGGUGAGUAACACGUGAGUAACCUGCCCUUGACUUUGGGAUAACUUCAGGAAACUGGGGCUAAUACCGGAUAGGAGCUCCUGCUGCAUGGUGGGGGUUGGAAAGUUUCGGCGGUUGGGGAUGGACUCGCGGCUUAUCAGCUUGUUGGUGGGGUAGUGGCUUACCAAGGCUUUGACGGGUAGCCGGCCUGAGAGGGUGACCGGCCACAUUGGGAAUGAGAUACGGCCGAGACUCCGACGGGAGGCAGCAGUGGGGAAUAUUGCACAAUGGGCGGAAGCCUGAUGCAGCAACGCCGCGUGCGGGAUGACGGCCUUCGGGUUGUAAACCGCUUUCGCCUGUGACGAAGCGUGAGUGACGGUAAUGGGUAAAGAAGAACCGGCUAACUACGUG